This 1000-nucleotide ribosomal RNA is filed under the name uncultured bacterium. RNAcentral's name for it is "bacterial SSU rRNA". It matches the Rfam family "Bacterial small subunit ribosomal RNA", at positions 356 to 1376 of the family's 1533-position model. The record is from RNAcentral.
GGGGAAUAUUGCACAAUGGGGGAAACCCUGAUGCAGCAACGCCGCGUGAAGGAAGACGGUUUUCGGAUUGUAAACUUCUGUUCUUAGUGAAGAAUAAUGACGGUAGCUAAGGAGCAAGCCACGGCUAACUACGUGCCAGCAGCCGCGGUAAUACGUAGGUGGCAAGCGUUGUCCGGAAUUACUGGGUGUAAAGGGAGCGUAGGCGGGAUGCCAAGUCAGCUGUGAAAACUAUGGGCUUAACCUGUAGACUGCAGUUGAAACUGGUAUUCUUGAGUGGAGUAGAGGUUGGCGGAAUUCCGAGUGUAGCGGUGAAAUGCGUAGAUAUUCGGAGGAACACCGGUGGCGAAGGCGGCCAACUGGGCUUUAACUGACGCUGAGGCUCGAAAGUGUGGGGAGCAAACAGGAUUAGAUACCCUGGUAGUCCACACUGUAAACGAUGAUAACUAGGUGUGGGGGGUCUGACCCCUUCCGUGCCGCAGCUAACGCAAUAAGUUAUCCACCUGGGGAGUACGACCGCAAGGUUGAAACUCAAAGGAAUUGACGGGGACCCGCACAAGCAGUGGAUUAUGUGGUUUAAUUCGAAGCAACGCGAAGAACCUUACCAGCACUUGACAUCCGACUAACGAAGUAGAGAUACAUUAGGUGCCCUUCGGGGAAAGUCGAGACAGGUGGUGCAUGGUUGUCGUCAGCUCGUGUCGUGAGAUGUUGGGUUAAGUCCCGCAACGAGCGCAACCCCUGCCAUUAGUUGCUACGCAAGAGCACUCUAAUGGGACCGCUACCGACAAGGUGGAGGAAGGUGGGGACGACGUCAAAUCAUCAUGCCCCUUAUGUGCUGGGCUACACACGUAAUACAAUGGCCAUCAACAAAGAGAAGCAAUACCGCGAGGUGGAGCAAAACUUCAAAAAUGGUCUCAGUUCGGACUGCAGGCUGCAACCCGCCUGCACGAAGUUGGAAUUGCUAGUAAUCGUGGAUCAGCAUGCCACGGUGAAUACGUUCCCG